Long non-coding RNA from Physella acuta, 424 nucleotides. RefSeq lists it as uncharacterized. The record is from RefSeq and is a predicted model, not a curated record. Lineage: Eukaryota; Metazoa; Mollusca; Gastropoda; Physidae.
AUGUUGUAGAACGCUGUUUUAAGUAUAUAACUGGUGUUUACUCGGACUCGACACCAGAGUUUGUUGUAGCUACCAGAUUCAAGUAUUCUACCAACAUGAAAACUCUAGUUCUCGUCUGUCUUCUAUCCGUCGUAUGCGUCACACUGACCGUGGCCCAAAUUACCUACGUCAAGGGGCCGUGUCCUAAUGGGGUGAAAGUGGGGGGCGUGUGGUAUGAAGCAGGCUGCAAGAAAUGCAAGUGUCUCAAAGAGGCUUACACAUGCGCAGGUUGUCCAAAUAUGGAAUUUCCUGCAAAUUGUAUUGUCACAUUCGAGAACAAGGGCAACAACCCUGACUGCUGUAAGCCAACUUUUAACUGUACCAGUACCAAAGGUUGAGAAAACGGACAUGUUAUCACGAAGAAAAUAAAGAAGUGCAGCUGAUA